RNAcentral lists this ribosomal RNA (253 nucleotides) under uncultured bacterium. RNAcentral describes it as "partial 16S ribosomal RNA". It matches the Rfam family "Bacterial small subunit ribosomal RNA", at positions 524 to 776 of the family's 1533-position model. The record is from RNAcentral.
UACGGAGGGUGCAAACGUUGCUCGGAAUUAUUGGGCGUAAAGCGCACGUAGGCGGUCCAGCAAGUCGGGUGUGAAAGCCCUCGGCUUAACCGAGGAAGUGCAUUCGAAACUACUGGACUUGAAUACUGGAGAGGAUCGCGGAAUUCCCGGUGUAGAGGUGAAAUUCGUAGAUAUCGGGAGGAACACCAGUGGCGAAGGCGGCAUCCUGGACCGGCAUUGACGCUGAGGCGCGAAAGCUAGGGGAGCAAACGGG